Molecule: long non-coding RNA, 1774 nt
Filed under: Anas platyrhynchos platyrhynchos (common mallard)
Lineage: Eukaryota; Metazoa; Chordata; Aves; Anseriformes; Anatidae
Description: lncRNA (ENSAPLG00000028196.1)
Source: RNAcentral
GAACCAUCUUAAAUACACAGACAGAAAUAUGAUCAAGUUAAGCAUAGUAAGAAGAUCCAAAUAUUUCCACUCCUGCUGCUGCUACAUCUGUAGCUAGCAAUUGUUUGGUUUUUAGUAGCUGAUAACCUUCUAGAGGAACUGAUUCAGGAUGCUUCACUAUUGUAGCUUCGCUACACACUACACACUAAACACUAAACACUAUACUCUAUACAAUACACACCUUUUGAGGAGAACUCAUGCAAGGAGCUGACUAAAAGGGCAACCAGAAAAUAUAGUCAGUGACAGACACAGAUGAACCUCCUGGCAGCUUUUUUUGCCCUGACGAGUGGAAAUCAGAUCUGUCGACAUCUAUUUUUAAUAGGUACAGGACCACGAAGGACUCGCUGCAAAGUUUUUAUAUGUUUCCAUUUACCGAUAUUUAAUAUUCUCUGUAUCAAACUUGGGGAUGAGGUAAACUUCUGCAAUGUGUGGAGACAAGCAGCGUAUGUAGACAACAAGUACUUGUAGGAGCUGGCCGCUUCUCCAAAGGCAGCGGCCCCAAUUAACGUGCUUUGUGUUAAGCUAGGAAGCAGCUGGCCUGGGUUUCAUGAAAGUUCCCACAACAAAGCUGCAAUGGAAGGGGCAAGCAGAGACAUACACGCAGGCUGAGCACCCUUUAUCGAGAUCACGGCACACUCUGUUCCCAGGACAGGCCUGUCCAGAAACCAACCUUGGCAGCUGCUGUGUCAAGUGUCACGGGAGGAAUAGUGCACACCAUGUAACCCAAUCAGGGGCUGAAAUAAACUGCAUAAUGCAGAGGAACUCACAUGUGUUGCUGUUAAUCUACCUCAUGUACAAAAACUGACCUGCAAAAUUGCCAAAUAGAUGCCAAGGAGCCUUUUCUGCCCCUUUUAUUUAGUAAAGGGCCUGGAUGCCCCUGGAGUCGUGCUGCUGUUGCUGCAAUGGGGAGAUAGCCCUUGGCUGGUUGGAAGCAUCAGCUAACAGACUAAAGGGUUGGCCAAAUCCUCCCUUUUCAGCUAUCCAGCAGGGCAAUGGAGAGGAAUUCCCUUUCCACACCAAGUGGGAAUCUCCUUGCUGCAGCACGAGUGAUCAGGUGGCAGAGACAGCAUCAGUCCCCCUGCACCACCCUUCCAGCUCUGAGGGCAACAAGCCAGGCAGGAGCCAAAGUUCUGCUUUGAUUUAUGUCCAGCCAAGCACAUUAGGCUCAAGAUUUAGGCCUGGAGGAGUCUGAACCAAGAUGCUGGCAGAGGAGGACCUCGCCAACCUCACCAUGAGAGGAGCAGCUGAAUAACCCAGGCAGGUUUUGGCAGCACCAGCCAAAGAGAGGGAGGGGGCAGGACAUCCUUUAGCAGCAACCUGGGAGGACCGUAACCUCAUUAACCAUUAGCAUUGCACCAACCGAACCACAAACAAGCACUCCCUGUACACCCACGCCGAUGAGGUAAAGAAGCCUCCCACCCCAGCACUGCCACUGCUCAACAGAUGUGAUCCCAUCUCCAAAAUUUAAAAAGAGCCUUUCAGUCCUCAUAACUUGUCAGAAGAAAGACCCCUUGCAGGCAAGGUAGGUGUUUGUUUUAGCUAGAGUGCUUCCCCUCAGUUUUGGCCGAUAUAGACGGGGCCGCAGUGGUGACUGGCACCUGCAGGGAUUUUCUGCCCUGGAAGAAGGGAAAAGGUUGUUUUCAUGGAGUGAAUCCCACAUCCCAGACUGAUCUUGUCAGUAACUUGUUGAAUGGCUGUAGGGAGUCAGCUAGAUCUUAGAACCAUUUUUUUUUUU